Molecule: ribosomal RNA, 253 nt
Filed under: uncultured bacterium
Lineage: Bacteria
Description: partial 16S ribosomal RNA
Rfam family: Bacterial small subunit ribosomal RNA
Source: RNAcentral
UACGUAGGGGGCUAGCGUUGUCCGGAUUUAUUGGGCGUAAAGAGCUUGUAGGCGGUCUGGCAGGUCUGGUGUGAAAACUCGAGGCUUAACCUCGAGAUGUCAUCGGAAACCAUCUGGCUAGAGUCCGGAAGAGGAGAGUGGAAUUCCUGGUGUAGCGGUGAAAUGCGCAGAUAUCAGGAAGAACACCAAUGGCGAAAGCAGCUCUCUGGGACGGUACUGACGCUGAGACGCGAAGGCGUGGGGAGCGAACAGG